GAAGACUGGUGCUUGCACUGGUUGGAUUAGUGGCGAACGGGUGAGUAAUACGUGAGUAACCUGCCUUUGACUCUGGGAUAAGCCUGGGAAACUGGGUCUAAUACCGGAUAUGACAAGGAACCGCAUGGUUUUUUGUGGAAAGGGUUUGUACUGGUUUUAGAUGGGCUCACGGCCUAUCAGCUUGUUGGUGGGGUAAUGGCUCACCAAGGCGACGACGGGUAGCCGGCCUGAGAGGGUGACCGGCCACACUGGGACUGAGACACGGCCCAGACUCCUACGGGAGGCAGCAGUGGGGAAUAUUGCACAAUGGGCGCAAGCCUGAUGCAGCGACGCCGCGUGAGGGAUGACGGCCUUCGGGUUGUAAACUCUUUCAGCAGGGAAGAAGCGAAAGUGACGGUACCUGCAGAAGAAGCGCCGGCUAACUACGUGCCAGCAGCCGCGGUAAUACGUAGGGCGCGAGCGUUGUCCGGAAUUAUUGGGCGUAAAGAGCUUGUAGGCGGUUUGUUGCGUCUGCUGUGAAAGACCGGGGCUUAACCCCGGUAUUGCAGUGGGUACGGGCAGACUAGAGUGCAGUAGGGGAGACUGGAAUACCUGGUGUAGCGGUGAAAUGCGCAGAUAUCAGGAGGAACACCGAUGGCGAAGGCAGGUCUCUGGGCUGUAACUGACGCUGAGAAGCGAAAGCAUGGGGAGCGAACAGGAUUAGAUACCCUGGUAGUCCAUGCCGUAAACGUUGGGCACUAGGUGUGGGGGACAUUCCACGUUUUCCGCGCCGUAGUAACGCAUUAAGUGCCCCGCCUGGGGAGUACGGCCGCAAGGCUAAAACUCAAAGGAAUUGACGGGGGCCCGCACAAGCGGCGGAGCAUGCGGAUUAAUUCGAUGCAACGCGAAGAACCUUACCAAGGCUUGACAUAUACUGGACCGCCUCAGAGAUGGGGUUUCCUUCGGGGCUGGUAUACAGGUGGUGCAUGGUUGUCGUCAGCUCGUGUCGUGAGAUGUUGGGUUAAGUCCCGCAACGAGCGCAACCCUCGUUCUAUGUUGCCAGCACGUUAUGGUGGGGACUCAUAGGAGACUGCCGGGGUCAACUCGGAGGAAGGUGGGGAUGACGUCAAAUCAUCAUGCCCCUUAUGUCUUGGGCUUCACGCAUGCUACAAUGGCCGGUACAAAGGGUUGCGAUACUGUGAGGUUGAGCUAAUCCCAAAAAGCCGGUCUCAGUUCGGAUUGGGGUCUGCAACUCGACCCCAUGAAGUCGGAGUCGCUAGUAAUCGCAGAUCAGCAACGCUGCGGUGAAUACGUUCCCGGGCCUUGUACACACCGCCCGUCAAGUCACGAAAGUUGGUAACACCCGAAGCCGAUGGCCUAAC
This 1361-nucleotide ribosomal RNA is filed under the name Kocuria sp. Am 16. Its description in RNAcentral is "bacterial SSU rRNA". It matches the Rfam family "Bacterial small subunit ribosomal RNA", at positions 68 to 1439 of the family's 1533-position model. The record is from RNAcentral. Lineage: Bacteria; Bacillati; Actinomycetota; Actinomycetes; Micrococcales; Micrococcaceae.